RNAcentral lists this ribosomal RNA (509 nucleotides) under uncultured Coprococcus sp. RNAcentral describes it as "bacterial SSU rRNA". It matches the Rfam family "Bacterial small subunit ribosomal RNA", at positions 1 to 507 of the family's 1533-position model. The record is from RNAcentral. Lineage: Bacteria; Bacillati; Bacillota; Clostridia; Lachnospirales; Lachnospiraceae.
UAGAGGUUUGAUCCUCGGCGUCAGGAUGAACGGCUGGCGGCGUGGCUUAACACAUAGCAAGUCGAACGAAGCAUGGAAGACGGAAUUUUCGGUAAGGAAGUCUUCUAUGACUGAGUGGCGGACGGGUGAGUAACGCGUGGGUAACCUGCCUCAUACAGGGGGAUAACAGUUAGAAAUGACUGCUAAUACCGCAUAAGACCACAGUGCCGCAUGGCACAGGGGGCCAAAGCCUUGACGGUAUGAGAUGGACCCGCGUCUGAUUAGGUAGUUGGUGGGGUAACGGCCUACCAAGCCGACGAUCAGUAGCCGACCUGAGAGGAUGACCGGCCACAUUGGGACUGAGACACGGCCCAAACUCCUACGGGAGGCAGCAGUGGGGAAUAUUGCACAAUGGGGGAAACCCUGAUGCAGCGACGCCGCGUGAGUGAAGAAGUAUUUCGGUAUGUAAAGCUCUAUCAGCAGGGAAGAAAAUGACGGUACCUGACUAAGAAGCCCCGGCUAACUACGUG